RNAcentral lists this non-coding RNA (139 nucleotides) under Streptomyces sp. The record is from RNAcentral. Lineage: Bacteria; Bacillati; Actinomycetota; Actinomycetes; Kitasatosporales; Streptomycetaceae.
CAGCACAAGAUGUAUGCUCGUGCUCGCCGUCACCGCAGGGAAUCCGGUGCGAAUCCGGAACUGUCCCGCAAUGGUGUGUGAUGGGUCGUUUCGUGCUGCCCGUCGCGAGUCCGACCCCUGCCGACGGUGCCGAACCUGU